AAAAAAAUUGAAAAACAUAUAAGUCCUAACAAUAUAAAAAGUCAGACAAAAAAUUAAAAAAGAAAAAAGUUAAUGCAAAAUAAAAAAAAGUAUGAGAAUUUAAAAAUGCAAAUAAGAAAUGAAAGGAAAUGUGUGGAAAAAAAAGAGAAGCAAGAAAAGACAAAAGAUUUGGAAUAAAAAAUAGAAAAAUAAAAAUUUUUAAAACAACGAAAAAAUUAAAACCAGUAAAAAUGAAAGCAUAUGAAAAAAAAGCAAAAAGAAGGAAAAUUGUGAAGGGAAAAAGUUAUUAAAAAAUUACAAAGUUGAAAAAAAAUAAAUUAAGCGAAAAAAUUAAAUAAAAUACCCAGAAAGGAAAAAUAAAAAUAAACAAAGUAAGAAAAUAAAAAAUUAGCGAAGCAAAAAAAUAUAAAAAGACAAAUGAAUAAAAAUUUCAAAUAUAAAAUGGAAAAAACUUUUAGUUUAGAAUGUAGAAAGAAAAACAAAAAAAAAAAAAACAAAUAGAGGAAAAAGAUAUAAAUAUGAAAGAUGAAAAAUAAAAUAAAAGAAAGUGCACAAAAAAAAG
RNAcentral lists this long non-coding RNA (562 nucleotides) under Durio zibethinus. Its description in RNAcentral is "long non-coding RNA (DZIB_LNC002165)". The record is from RNAcentral. Lineage: Eukaryota; Viridiplantae; Streptophyta; Magnoliopsida; Malvales; Malvaceae.